Molecule: long non-coding RNA, 519 nt
Filed under: Mytilus galloprovincialis (Mediterranean mussel)
Lineage: Eukaryota; Metazoa; Mollusca; Bivalvia; Mytilida; Mytilidae
Source: RNAcentral
GGUGAACCCAAUGACAUACAUUACCAAAAGUAGACAUCAACAUGAUUAAGAGGACAUCUUGUUGACUUAAACAAAAAUUGAGAAUAAAAGUACCAAAAGGUCAACAUUAUACAAGUAAGAACAUGCGGUAUGAAUACCAAUGAGACAACUAUCCACCCCAAGUUCAAAGGAGGUGGAUGAGAGCAAGUAUAGGCAACUGUAUGGCCUUUAACAAUGAUAAAAAUUCAUGCAUGAUUUUGAUAGAGAAUACAGACAGGGAAUGUGUCAAAGAGACAUCAACCCGACAAAAGAGCAGGAAACAACCCAAUGCCACCAAUGGGUCGUGUCAUCACCACAGCGAGAUAAUCUCGCAUCCCGUAGCGGGAUUCAGCUUGCACCAAGACAUUUCUAAAUGUAUAUUUUCUAUAUGAUGUUUUUUUCCAAACAUUUUGUUUUUCAUAUAUGCUAUGCUGGUGACCAAAAAUUAAUAUGAUUUUAACAUUUACUUUAUUUUGUAGACAAACCAAUGAUGAUUUCGGG